RNAcentral lists this ribosomal RNA (501 nucleotides) under uncultured bacterium. RNAcentral's name for it is "partial 16S ribosomal RNA". It matches the Rfam family "Bacterial small subunit ribosomal RNA", at positions 30 to 523 of the family's 1533-position model. The record is from RNAcentral.
AUUGAACGCUGGCGGCAGGCUUAACACAUGCAAGUCGAGCGGGGUGAUGGUGCUUGCACUAUCACUUAGCGGCGGACGGGUGAGUAAUGCUUAGGAAUCUGCCUAUUAGUGGGGGACGACAUCUCGAAAGGGAUGCUAAUACCGCAUACGUCCUACGGGAGAAAGCAGGGGAUCACUUGUGACCUUGCGCUAAUAGAUGAGCCUAAGUCGGAUUAGCUAGUUGGUGGGGUAAGGCCUACCAAGGCGACGAUCUGUAGCUGGUCUGAGAGGAUGACCAGCCACACUGGGACUGAGACACGGCCCAGACUCCUACGGGAGGCAGCAGUGGGGAAUCUUGGACAAUGGGGGAAACCCUGAUCCAGCGAUGCCGCGUGUGUGAAGAAGGCCUUCGGGUUGUAAAGCACUUUAGUUGGGGAAGAAAAGUAAUAAGUAAAUAAUUUAUUGCUCUGACGGUGCCCAAAGAAUAAGCACCGGCUAACUCUGUGCCAGCAGCCGCCGUAA